CCCUUAGAUGUUCUGGGCGGCCCGCGCACUACAUUGGCACUCUCAAUAAGUUCCUAGAUCUAAAACUUUGGGGUAUUCUAUUAAGUGGUGUCGUGACUGGGAUUAACCCUUGCAAUUAUUGGUUACGAACGAGGAAUUCCUUGUAAUCGCGGUUUAUCAGCCCGCGUUGAAUGCGUCCCUGCCCUUUGUACACACCGCCCGUCGCUCCUACCGAUUGGGUGUGCUGGUGAAAUGUUCGGAUCGGCCGUUUGUCGCGGUUUCCGCGUCAUGUGGCUGAGAAGUUCAUUAAACCCUCCCACCUAGAGGAAGGAGAAGUCGUAACA
RNAcentral lists this ribosomal RNA (323 nucleotides) under uncultured eukaryote. RNAcentral describes it as "partial 18S ribosomal RNA". It matches the Rfam family "Eukaryotic small subunit ribosomal RNA", at positions 1470 to 1796 of the family's 1831-position model. The record is from RNAcentral.